GCUGUUGGGUGAUGAGGCUCUGGAAUGAGCCCUGGGCAUAGUGCCCGAGUCGCUGCAGAAACAUCCCGUGCUGCCUUCCUUCUGAGAGCAUC
Molecule: small nucleolar RNA, 92 nt
Organism: Myotis lucifugus (little brown bat)
Lineage: Eukaryota; Metazoa; Chordata; Mammalia; Chiroptera; Vespertilionidae
Gene: SNORD83B
Product: small nucleolar RNA U83B
Source: Ensembl